AGCGACCAUCUUUCAUGACCUCACAGUGUUUUGGACUCCAGCCCACUGUACAUCCAGGAUAGUGACAGUUCUCUUCACAGACUGUACAGCAGACAGCUGUUUCAUAAAACACCAACCCCCACAUCCCACCAUCAAUAGGUUCUUUAUCUUUGUAGACCUCAUCAACUUCUACAGUGAACUUCUCAUUGUUCUUCAUCUCUUGUUCAUAUUUCUUCAGAGCUUCCUCAGUCUGUUGGAUUUCUUUCUGUUUUAGUUCAAUAAACUCAACUCUCUCUUUCAGGUUUUGGAUGCAGGCUGUCAGUCUGAUUCGUUCAUUCAGAACGUCCACAGUUGUCUUCAGCUUUUGAGGUUCAGUUUUUCCCAGAAAGUCUGUGAACUGUCUCAGUCCUUCUGUUGUUAUUUUAUUUAUAUUUUUAAGUGCUGUUCUGCCCUCUGUCCUGUCUUCAUGCUGACAGUUAUCAAACAGGAAGUAAACAGGCUGAUUAUUUUCAUUUUUG
Dicentrarchus labrax (European seabass) is the source of this 497-nucleotide long non-coding RNA. RefSeq lists it as uncharacterized. The transcript is spliced from 3 exons. The record is from RefSeq and is a predicted model, not a curated record. Lineage: Eukaryota; Metazoa; Chordata; Actinopteri; Moronidae.